RNAcentral lists this unclassified non-coding RNA (321 nucleotides) under fungal sp. RNAcentral's name for it is "partial contains 5.8S ribosomal RNA, internal transcribed spacer 2, and large subunit ribosomal RNA". The stretch from base 1 to 71 matches the Rfam family "5.8S ribosomal RNA", at positions 84 to 154 of the family's 154-position model. The record is from RNAcentral. Lineage: Eukaryota; Fungi.
GUGAGUCAUCGAAUCUUUGAACGCACAUUGCGCCCGCCAGUAUUCUGGCGGGCAUGCCUGUUCGAGCGUCAUUAACACCACUCAAGCCCCCGGGCUUGGCGUUGGGGAUCGGCAUCCGGCGCGCGCUCCUCCUCCGGGAGGGGCCCGCCCGCCGUCCCCCAAACCGAUUGGCGGUCGCGCCUGUGGGCUCCCUUGCGUAGUAGCAACACCUCGCACCGGACGCCCCUCGCGGCCACGCCGUAAAACCCCCGACUUUUUUCAAGUUGACCUCGAAUCAGGUAGGACUACCCGCUGAACUUAAGCAUAUCAAUAAGCGGAGGA